GCAGGGGUGGAGCAGCGGUAGCUCGUCGGGCCCAUAACCCGAAGGUCGCAGGUUCAAUCCCUGCCCCCUGAA
Molecule: transfer RNA, 72 nt
Filed under: Archangium sp.
Lineage: Bacteria; Pseudomonadati; Myxococcota; Myxococcia; Myxococcales; Archangiaceae
Description: tRNA-Met
Rfam family: tRNA
About the family: Transfer RNA (tRNA) molecules are approximately 80 nucleotides in length. Their secondary structure includes four short double-helical elements and three loops (D, anti-codon, and T loops).
Source: RNAcentral